This 476-nucleotide long non-coding RNA is filed under the name Anas platyrhynchos platyrhynchos (common mallard). Its description in RNAcentral is "lncRNA (ENSAPLG00000017632.1)". The record is from RNAcentral. Lineage: Eukaryota; Metazoa; Chordata; Aves; Anseriformes; Anatidae.
UUCAUUUAAUGAGUGCUCUUUUGGAGAGAGAUUUCUUUUAAAGUGCAUGCAGGAAAACGUAUAAUUGUUACUAUAAGUUGAUGUAUAAAUUGUUGGCUAUUUUGGAGAUGCAGUUAGGUUGGGCUUUUAAAGUAACAAUGUUUACAGAGAUUUUACCUCUUAAGAAUUAAUAAAUACAUCUAUGUCUAAGUUGUAGGUUAAACAUAUAUUUUUUCCCAUUCUAAUUUUGACAAAAUACAAUGUAAUAUACAUGUUAGAAAUCAAUUUUCUAAGUUCUAAUGAAACUUCAAAAUUUUCAUCUACAGAGAGAGAAGUUUGAGCAGAAGUUUGAGCAGCCAACUGCCAGUUCCAUUUUUCUAGGACCCUCCCUAGCAAGGCAAUGUGGAGAUAAGCAUUUCUCCUCCCAGCAAGUUCAGCUCCUUGAUGAAGGCCGAGGCAGCCCUGCCAGCUCCAGAUCUCGGCAGCUGCAGUUGCGG